RNAcentral lists this long non-coding RNA (222 nucleotides) under Elaeis guineensis (African oil palm). RNAcentral describes it as "long non-coding RNA (EGUI_LNC077101)". Lineage: Eukaryota; Viridiplantae; Streptophyta; Magnoliopsida; Arecales; Arecaceae. The record is from RNAcentral.
UCCGACAAUACAAGGAUCUACGUUUGUAGAAGUAUCCUAUUACAACUUGCCCUAUUCACAAUAUCAACCUUCUCCAACUAUCUAUAGCCCAUCAUUUGAAGAGAAGGUUCUGCAAGCACUAGAUAGGAUUGAAAGCACCAAUCAGCUCCUUCACUCCUCUAUGCAAUCCUUAGCCAAAAUAAAAAUUCAAGUCGAUCAAUCAGUAAUUACAAUCAGUAGGGA